GAGACCCACGCCCACAGUUGCCAGCGUACUCUCCGGAGUGACGGGUACACUGUGGGGACCGCCKCUGCUAAAGCGGAGGAAGGAAUGGGCAACGGUAGGUCAGUAUGCCCCGAAUAUCCCGGGCUACACGCGAGCUACAAUGGUUGGUACAAUGGGUAUCUACCCCGAAAGGGGAWGGAAAUCUCCUAAASCCAWUCUUAGUAYCGGAUUGAGGGCUGCMACUCGCCCUCAUGAAGCUGGAAUCCGUAGUAAUCGCGUUUCAAMAKAACGCGGUGAAUAC
This 280-nucleotide ribosomal RNA is filed under the name uncultured methanogenic archaeon. RNAcentral describes it as "partial 16S rRNA". It matches the Rfam family "Archaeal small subunit ribosomal RNA", at positions 1047 to 1324 of the family's 1478-position model. The record is from RNAcentral. Lineage: Archaea; Methanobacteriati; Methanobacteriota.